UACGUAGGGUGCAAGCGUUGUCCGGAAUUAUUGGGCGUAAAGAGCUCGUAGGCGGUUUGUCGCGUCUGCUGUGAAAACGCGAGGCUCAACCUCGCGCCUGCAGUGGGUACGGGCAGACUAGAGUGCGGUAGGGGAGAUUGGAAUUCCUGGUGUAGCGGUGGAAUGCGCAGAUAUCAGGAGGAACACCGAUGGCGAAGGCAGAUCUCUGGGCCGUAGCUGACGCUGAGGAGCGAAAGCGUGGGGAGCGAACAGG
This 253-nucleotide ribosomal RNA is filed under the name uncultured bacterium. Its description in RNAcentral is "partial 16S ribosomal RNA". It matches the Rfam family "Bacterial small subunit ribosomal RNA", at positions 524 to 776 of the family's 1533-position model. The record is from RNAcentral.